Calidris pugnax (ruff) is the source of this 1441-nucleotide long non-coding RNA. RefSeq lists it as uncharacterized. The record is from RefSeq and is a predicted model, not a curated record. NCBI's taxonomy places the organism in Eukaryota, Metazoa, Chordata, Aves, Charadriiformes, Scolopacidae. The transcript has 5 exons.
GAUAACACUGAACAAAUGUUUAUUCUGUUUUUUAAUCUUGUGUACAUAGAUGAACUGCUUAUUUUUAAAAACAUGAACUGAAAGUACAUUGUGAGCCUACUGUAAAAGAAAACAGGAGCAGAAUAUUAGUAAAAUAUUCAGAUAACACCAUAUGAUUGAUAGGAAACUGUAAAUGUUAGAAUGGGCUGAGCAAUAACUAUGGAAACAAGAUGCUUGACUAAGAAAUGAAUGAAUUUGAUUUGCCACGGAUCAUUGCAGCUUAUACGCUACCAUUCUUUUAUAGAAGGAUAGUUUGAAACUCAAAAAUACAGGAAGGUGGCAAUAAUGUCAUAGCCUUAGAUAUGCUUAUUCGAUGUUCUGGCCAUGAAAUACAUAUUAUGCAAGCUUGGGGUUGUAGGUGUAGAAGGUAGUGGUCAGAACUGGUCAUUGAAUUGAUAUUCAGUGCCUAGCUGUUAUUUUUGGAUAAUACGGACAGAUUAGAAAAUAUAUGCAGAGGAAAGAUUAAGCAGCUAAUUAGCACUUCAUAUAGUACAUUAUUAGAGUCAAGAAUAGGGAAUUUAUUUUUUUCAAACCCACAAAAUGUUGAAGUCUCUGCAGAGAAUUCAAGGUAAAUGCCAGCACAUCCUUGAUGUACACAAACAUUGGCGAGUGAAGUGAGUAAUUAAAUGGUGGUAUAAUAGACAGUAAUAGGUUGCGGUCAUGAAAUGAAAACUUUUCUGCUCUGCUGAUGGUGAACUCAAAGACUGCAACGGUGAAGGCAGUGGAACCACUUCCUCAGAUACAACAGUAGUUUGGCUGGAGCAUGAGUAAAUGUACAGUUGGGAUCAGUCUUGAUUUGGCACGGAAUACAACCAGACAAAUCAAUGCUAUUUCUUCCCUGUUUCUAGCAUUCAGGAUGUCACUCUUGAAAAAAAUAUUUCAUUAUUGAAAAAUAGAUGGAAACCUCUCCUCUGAUAUAUUUCUCCAGUGUACUGCAGGGGUGGAAAGUCACCAUGCUGAGCUGUCAGAGCCCUGUGCACUAAGAUGCUGCGUCCAAGCUAAUCUGCAAUAUUACUCAUCACCAGAUCAGCUGUUGAAAUCUUUCCAUCAAGUCAGAAGGGAACUGGCCACUUCACAUAGAGGGUGCACCCACUCUGAGAUAAUGAUACUUUGGCUUGGGCAUCACCAAAAAAGAGGCUGUGCAAGCCUUGAGAUCCCUUACCUAGCAUCUGAUAUCUGCAGAGAGAGGAGGAAAUUCUCCGCUCAACUUUUGACCUGAUUUGAAAACUCUCUGUAAUGCUGCUGAGUGUCGGAUUGCCCGAGUUGCUUCACUCUCUGUUUCCUGGAGGGGGAGGGAAGCUGCACAGCAUGGCUUCUGUGGUUACCUUAGGAACUGUGUGCUGGAGUGGUUCCAGUCCCAAGCUGGGCUUAGGUUUCCUAAACUGAGCUGAUUGAAAACCAG